AAAUAAUAUCAAGCGCCAGAACCCUGGUUAGUAUAAGAGGGUUGACGAGGAGAGGGAUGAUCGAAUAUUCGGCGGAUGCCCUCCGGCCGGUCACGGCCGUUAACGCAGUCCAAAACCCGCAGGCAACUGCGGGGCCAAAUGACUGUCGGUGACCAAC
Molecule: non-coding RNA, 157 nt
Filed under: Desulfotomaculum nigrificans
Lineage: Bacteria; Bacillati; Bacillota; Clostridia; Eubacteriales; Desulfotomaculaceae
Also listed under: 1 other name
Description: GlcN6P sequence
Rfam family: glmS glucosamine-6-phosphate activated ribozyme aptamer
About the family: This entry contains a glucosamine-6-phosphate activated ribozyme that is found in the mRNA for GlmS. GlmS is an enzyme that uses fructose-6-phosphate and glutamine to generate glucosamine-6-phosphate.
Source: RNAcentral